UACGAAGGGGGCUAGCGUUGCUCGGAAUUACUGGGCGUAAAGGGCGCGUAGGCGGACAGUUUAGUCAGAGGUGAAAGCCCCGGGCUCAACCUGGGAAUUGCAUUCGAGACUGCAUGGCUAGGAUGCGGAAGAGGGAAGCGGAAUUUCCGGUGUAGCGGUGAAAUGCGUAGAUAUCGGAAGGAACACCAGUGGCGAAAGCGGCUUCCUGGUCCAGCAUCGACGUUCAGGCACGAAAGCGUGGGGAGCAAACAGG
RNAcentral lists this ribosomal RNA (253 nucleotides) under uncultured bacterium. RNAcentral's name for it is "partial 16S ribosomal RNA". It matches the Rfam family "Bacterial small subunit ribosomal RNA", at positions 524 to 776 of the family's 1533-position model. The record is from RNAcentral.